AGAGAGAGACAUGCGCGCAUAUCAAUAAGCGGAGGAAAAGAAACUAACAAGGAUUCCCCUAGUAACGGCGAGUGAAGCGGGAAGAGCUCAAAUUUGAAAUCUUGAAGGGUUUCCCUUUACGAAUUGUAGUUUAAAGAAGUGUUUUCUGUUGAGGUUUUGGUAAAAGUUCUUUGGAAUAGGACAUCAUAGAGGGUGAGAAUCCCGUAUUUGACCUUUACUUUCAACUUUGUGAUACACUUUCAAAGAGUCGGAUUGUUUGGGAAUGCAGUCCAAAAUGGGUGGUAAAUUUCAUCUAAAGCUAAAUAUUGGCGAGAGACCGAUAGCGAACAAGUACCGUGAGGGAAAGAUGAAAAGAACUUUGAAAAGAGAGUUAAACAGUACGUGAAAUUGUCAAAAGGGAAGCGUUUGACACCAGUGUUGUUUUUCUGAAAAUCAAUUAAAGAACUGUUUAUGCUAAGUUGUUUAGACUUUAUCAGCUAACUGUUUAGUUUUGAGCUUUUCUUUAAUGCACUUUUCAGUUAACAAGUCAACAUCAAUUUCUUUUGCUGUAAAAAAGCUUGAGGAAGGUGGCUUGAGAUUCGUCUUAAGUGUUUAUAGCCUCUUGCCUAUGCAGUCGGAGAGAUUGAGGUCUGCAGCGUAGAUCCUUCGGGGCUAAAUGCAUUUGUGCUAAGUUAUAGCAUUUUAUAGACAACUUGUUGACUAUGAUUUGUCUUGUAGCUUACUCGCUUAUGUUAUUUUACCUACGCUUAGGAUGUUGAAGACUCUACAGAGAUA
RNAcentral lists this ribosomal RNA (774 nucleotides) under uncultured Neocallimastigales. RNAcentral's name for it is "partial large subunit ribosomal RNA". It matches the Rfam family "Eukaryotic large subunit ribosomal RNA", at positions 23 to 633 of the family's 3401-position model. The record is from RNAcentral. Lineage: Eukaryota; Fungi; Neocallimastigomycota; Neocallimastigomycetes; Neocallimastigales.